Arsukibacterium sp. MJ3 is the source of this 110-nucleotide regulatory RNA element. It matches the Rfam family "Ribosomal S15 leader". From Rfam's summary of the family: The E. coli Ribosomal S15 gene 5' UTR can form two alternative structures. One that is a series of three hairpins, The other includes a pseudoknot. This structure causes translational regulation of the S15 protein. The record is from Rfam. NCBI's taxonomy places the organism in Bacteria, Pseudomonadati, Pseudomonadota, Gammaproteobacteria, Chromatiales, Chromatiaceae.
CGUUGGGGCUGAAUUAGUGAUCGGCUCCGGCAUCAUUAAAUUGGAGAUAUACAAUGUCACUAAGUGCAGAUGUAAAAGCUCAAAUCGUAAAAGAUUUCGCACGUGCAGAA